This is a long non-coding RNA of Notothenia coriiceps (black rockcod), 608 nucleotides long. RefSeq lists it as uncharacterized. The record is from RefSeq and is a predicted model, not a curated record. Lineage: Eukaryota; Metazoa; Chordata; Actinopteri; Perciformes; Nototheniidae. The transcript has 3 exons.
CAGAUGUUACACUGUAAAAAAGUUAAAUAAACAAACGCCUGUGUCUGCAAACUGUUCAAUGACGGUCGUCACGGCUGCUUUCCUUGCUCUUUGAAAUCGCUGUGGAGUGAGGACACAUCAUUUUUAUUUUGCAGUUCAGAUCUGGAAAUACCUGCUGAGAUUCUUCCUACAGUUGUGUAGAUGGCACUGCCGUUCGACGGUUUUGAGCUGACCUUCAUCAUCUUUGCCUUCUUCAUCUUCUCCCUCUUCAGCUUGGCUUCAAUCUGCAUCAAACCAGCAGCAAAACAUCCAGAAAACUGUGGCAGGGAAGCAAAGAAGUCACAGCCAUUAAACAAAAAGCAGAGAGUGAUCAACAAACAAGCUGGAAAGAAACCAUAAAGUCACACUCCGAGAUCUCUGUCUGGAUCUGCUGUACUACAGGGCUUCCAAUUUAUUAAAGUUCUCAUGAAUGACUCAAAAUUAACAUCAGAUUAAAGAAUGUUAUUGUAUUGAAAGGUAGCUGUGAUUGUUCCAAAAAUAUGGUAACAAUAAACGUGUUUAUAAUGAUGAAGUCUCUGAGCCAGUCUCAUACAAAGUUGGGUUAUUAAAACUGACACUUGUGACAAUUU